This 315-nucleotide ribosomal RNA is filed under the name uncultured bacterium. RNAcentral describes it as "bacterial SSU rRNA". It matches the Rfam family "Bacterial small subunit ribosomal RNA", at positions 28 to 334 of the family's 1533-position model. The record is from RNAcentral.
GAUGAACGCUAGCGGCAGGCUUAACACAUGCAAGUCGAGGGGCAGCAUAAAACAUUGCUUGCAAUGUUUGGUGGCGACCGGCGCACGGGUGCGUAACGCGUAUGCAACCUACCUAUAACAGGGGGAUAACACUGAGAAAUUGGUACUAAUACCCCGUAACAUCAGAAGAGGCAUCUUUUUUGGUUGAAAGUUCCGGCGGUUAUAGAUGGGCAUGCGUUGUAUUAGCUAGUUGGUGAGGUAACGGCUCACCAAGGCGACGAUACAUAGGGGGACUGAGAGGUUAACCCCCCACAUUGGUACUGAGACACGGACCAA